GGACCCGCACAAGCGGUGGAGCAUGUGGUUUAAUUCGACAAUAAGCGAGGAACCUCACCAAGGUUUGACAUCCGGCUGCAGACUCCUGGAAACAGGAGAGCCUUCGAGGGUGCCGGACAGAUGCUGCAUGGUUGUCGUCAGCUCGUGUCGUGAGAUGUACCGUUAAUUCGGGAAACGAGCGCAACCCCUAUCCUAUGUUUCAUGUGUCAUAGGAAACUGCCCGUUUUAAAUGGGAGGAAGGUGGGGAUGACGUCAAAUCAGCAUGGUUCUUACACCUUGGGCGACACACGUGCUACAAUGGGAAGCACAAAGGGACGCCAAAUCGCAAGAUGGAGCAAAUCCUUUAAAACUUCUCUCAGUUCGGAUUGAGGUCUGCAACUCGACCUCAUGAAGCUGGAAUCGCUAGUAAACGUGGAUCAGCCACGCCACGUUGAAUACGUUCUCGGGUCUU
Molecule: ribosomal RNA, 451 nt
Filed under: uncultured bacterium
Lineage: Bacteria
Description: bacterial SSU rRNA
Rfam family: Bacterial small subunit ribosomal RNA
Source: RNAcentral